Molecule: ribosomal RNA, 449 nt
Filed under: uncultured bacterium
Lineage: Bacteria
Description: partial 16S ribosomal RNA
Rfam family: Bacterial small subunit ribosomal RNA
Source: RNAcentral
CCCAGACUCCUACGGGAGGCAGCAGUGGGGGAUAUUGCACAAUGGGGGGAACCCUGAUGCAGCGACGCCGCGUGGGUGAAGGAGCGUUUCGGCGCGUAAAGCCCUAUCGGCAGGGAAGAAGGAGGACGGUACCUGACUAAGAAGCCCCGGCUAACUACGUGCCAGCAGCCGCGGUAAUACGUAGGGGGCAAGCGUUAUCCGGAUUUACUGGGUGUAAAGGGGGCGCAGACGGCAGCGCAAGCCAGGAGUGAAAGCCCGGGGCCCAACCCCGGGACUGCUCUUGGAACUGCGCGGCUGGAGUGCAGGAGGGGCAGGCGGAAUUCCUGGUGUAGCGGUGAAAUGCGUAGAUAUCAGGAGGAACACCGGUGGCGAAGGCGGCCUGCUGGACUGCGACUGACGUUGAGGCCCGAAAGCGUGGGGAGCAAACAGGAUUAGAUACCCCAGUACUC